GACGAACGCUGGCGGCGUGCCUAAUACAUGCAAGUCGAGCGGAACCGGGGGAGCUUGCUCCUUCCAGUUUAGCGGCGGACGGGUGAGUAACACGUGGGCAACCUGCCCUGCAGAUCGGGAUAACUCCGGGAAACCGGUGCUAAUACCGAAUAGUUUGGCGCCUCUCCUGAGGCGCUACGGAAAGACGGUUUCGGCUGUCACUGCAGGAUGGGCCCGCGGCGCAUUAGCUAGUUGGUGGGGUAACGGCCCACCAAGGCGACGAUGCGUAGCCGACCUGAGAGGGUGACGGGCCACACUGGGACUGAGACACGGCCCAGACUCCUACGGGAGGCAGCAGUAGGGAAUCUUCCGCAAUGGACGCAAGUCUGACGGAGCAACGCCGCGUGAGUGACGAAGGUUUUCGGAUCGUAAAACUCUGUUGUGAGGGAAGAACACGUACCAACUAACUAUUGGUACCUUGACGGUACCUCACCAGAAAGCCACGGCUAACUACGUGCCAGCCGCCGCCGUAA
RNAcentral lists this ribosomal RNA (512 nucleotides) under uncultured bacterium. Its description in RNAcentral is "partial 16S ribosomal RNA". It matches the Rfam family "Bacterial small subunit ribosomal RNA", at positions 28 to 523 of the family's 1533-position model. The record is from RNAcentral.